AUGGCCGGGAGGAAGGUUGGCGAGAGGAAGAAGGCGGUGACCCGGUCCGUCAAGGCCGGGCUCCAGUUCCCCGUCGGCCGCAUCGGGCGCUUCCUCAAGAAGGGCCGCUACGCGCAGCGCGUCGGCUCCGGCGCCCCCGUCUACCUCGCCGCCGUCCUCGAGUACCUCGCCGCCGAGGUCCUGGAGCUGGCCGGCAACGCGGCCAAGGACAACAAGAAGACCCGCAUCGUGCCGCGGCACCUGCUUCUCGCCGUCCGCAACGACCAGGAGCUCGGCAGGCUGCUGGCCGGCGUCACCAUCGCCCACGGCGGCGUGAUCCCCAACAUCAACCCCGUGCUGCUCCCCAAGAAGUUGGCCGCCGCCGCCGAGAAGGAGGCCACCAAGUCGCCCAAGAAGAAGGCCGCCGCCAAGUCCCCCAAGAAGAAGGUCGCCGCCACCAAGGAGUAG
This 447-nucleotide ribosomal RNA is filed under the name Triticum aestivum (bread wheat). RNAcentral's name for it is "partial small subunit ribosomal RNA". The record is from RNAcentral. Lineage: Eukaryota; Viridiplantae; Streptophyta; Magnoliopsida; Poales; Poaceae.